CGCGUAGGUGGUAGUGUAAGUCUGGGGUGGAAUCCCAGGGCUUAACCCUGGAACUGCCUUGGAAACUGUAUUACUUGAGUCAGUGAGGGGAGGGUAGAAUUCCUGGUGUAGCGGUGAAAUGCGUAGAUAUCAGGAGGAAGGCCUGUGGCGAAGGCGGCCCUCUGGCGCUGGACUGACACUGAGGCGCGAAAGCGUGGGGAGCAAACAGGAUUAGAUACCCUGGUAGUCCACGCCCUAAACGGUGGGCACUAGGUGUAGGGCUCGUAAGGGUUCUGUGCCGAAGGGAAACCAUUAAGUGCCCCGCCUGGGAGUACGGCCGCAAGGUUGAA
RNAcentral lists this ribosomal RNA (329 nucleotides) under uncultured bacterium. RNAcentral describes it as "bacterial SSU rRNA". It matches the Rfam family "Bacterial small subunit ribosomal RNA", at positions 568 to 898 of the family's 1533-position model. The record is from RNAcentral.